This 445-nucleotide ribosomal RNA is filed under the name uncultured bacterium. RNAcentral describes it as "bacterial SSU rRNA". It matches the Rfam family "Bacterial small subunit ribosomal RNA", at positions 65 to 507 of the family's 1533-position model. The record is from RNAcentral.
AACGGCAGCACGGGAGCAAUCCUGGUGGCGAGUGGCGAACGGGUGAGUAAUAUAUCGGAACGUGCCCAGUCGUGGGGGAUAACGUAGCGAAAGCUACGCUAAUACCGCAUACGAUCUAUGGAUGAAANCGGGGAUCGCAAGACCUCGCGCGAUUGGAGCGGCCGAUAUCAGAUUAGGUAGUUGGUGAGGUAAAGGCUCACCAAGCCGACGAUCUGUAGCUGGUCUGAGAGGACGACCAGCCACACUGGGACUGAGACACGGCCCAGACUCCUACGGGAGGCAGCAGUGGGGAAUUUUGGACAAUGGGCGCAAGCCUGAUCCAGCAAUGCCGCGUGCAGGAUGAAGGCCUUCGGGUUGUAAACUGCUUUGUACGGAACGAAACGGUGAGCUCUAAUACAGUUUGCUAAUGACGGUACCGUAAGAAUAAGCACCGGCUAACUACGUG